AUGCUGGAUCUUUUGCAACGCCUCGGCUUUCCUCAAAGAUGGCGGGCCCUCCUGACGACUCUCUUCACCACGGCCUCCUCUAGGGUUUUGCUCAACGGAAUCCCUGGGAGGGACAUCAUGCAUGGACGGGGUUUUCGUCAGGGUAAUCCCCUCUCGCCCCUCCUGUUCGACAUCGCCAUCGACCCACUUCAGAGACUUCUGGAAAAGGCUACGGAAUCCGGCUUGCUGUCUGCUAUGCCUGGUGGUAUUCAGGGCCCCAGUGUCUCCCUAUAUGCGGACGACGCUGCCAUUUUUCUAUCCCCCACGACACAUGAUGUGGAAGGCCUUGCUUCCAUUCUACAGAGUUUUGGGGUAGUCUCUGGCCUCGUGACAAAUGUGACCAAGAGCUCCAUCGCCCCCAUCCAAUGCACCAACAUUAACUUGGAGGAGAUUCUGGCGAACUUCCCAGCAACUACAACCCCCUUCCCCAUUAAGUAUCUGGGGUUGCCCCUCUCCCUCGGAAGACUUAGGCGUGUGGACCUUCAACCCUACAUCGACAAAGCGGUGGCUCGUCUUAGCCCAUGGAAAGGAAAGUUCCUGAACCGUGCCGGGUGCACUGCUCUGGUUAAGUCCGUGCUCUCCUCCAUGCCAAUCUUCCUGCUGACGGCUUUAAAGGCUGACAAAGGCAUCCUCAGGGCCUUUGCGAAGAUCAGUCGUGGCAUGCUCUGGGCCUGUAAGGAGGCGGUUAGUGGAGGGAAAUGCAAAGUCAACUGGCAAAAGGUCUGCCGCCCCAAGGAGCUCGGUGGUUUGGGGGUUCUGGACCUGGAGAGGUUCUCCCGGGCCCUGAGGCUUCGCUGGUUAUGGUAUGAGUGGAAUGCUCCUGAGAAGCCAUGGGUGGGCUCUGAAACACCCAACGAUGCCUCCGACCUUGACCUCUUCAAUGCGGCUACUCGCGUCACCAUCGGAAACGGCGCCAAGGCCUCCUUCUGGUCGUCUUCAUGGCUCAAUGGUACCCCGCCAAAAGACCUAGCUCCCCUAAUUUUCAAGGCUUCCAAGAGGAAGAAUCGGACGGUCCAGGACGCUCUCGCUGAUAACAACUGGAUCUCGGACAUAGCGGUGGAUGCGUUCACGGCCGAUCACAUGGAACAAUACGUCCGCCUCUGGGAGCUCUUGUCAGAUAUCCAGCUUCAACCUGACACUGAGGACUCCAUUACCUGGUCCUUGACCCCUAAUGGGUGCUACUCGGCCACCUCCGCCUACAAGGUCCAGUUCCUUGCCUCUUUGCCCUGCCAGUUCGGGAACAUCGUGUGGAAGACCUGGGCCCCUCCAAAGUGUCGUUUCUUCGCUUGGCUCGCUGUCCAGAACCGUUUAUGGACCGCCGAUCGCUUGGCGAAAUGCGGAUGGCCGCACCAACCUACUUGUCAGCUCUGCCGUACCUCCCCUGAGACGGCACGGCACAUUCUUUUCGAGUGCCGCUUCUCCAGACGUAUCUGGACGGCCGCGGCCUCUUGGCUGUCUUGUCCAGACCUCAUCAGCAGCAUCGGGGAGGGUAGGCCUAAAGUCGUGGACUAUUGGUUGGCCGUUUCGAAGUCCACCACCUCCUCCCCAAAUGGCUUGCGCUCAGCUAUCACGCUCAUCACUUGGGAGAUCUGGAAAGAGAGGAACGAACGAGUUUUCAACAACAAGUCCUCCCUGCCAUCGGUUGUCAUGCAUAAGAUUAGGGAAGAGGGGAAGGACUGGAUCCUCGCCGGUGCUAAAAAUCUGGCGGAACUUGUAGGCUGA
This 1761-nucleotide ribosomal RNA is filed under the name Triticum aestivum (bread wheat). RNAcentral's name for it is "partial small subunit ribosomal RNA". Lineage: Eukaryota; Viridiplantae; Streptophyta; Magnoliopsida; Poales; Poaceae. The record is from RNAcentral.